Pongo abelii (Sumatran orangutan) is the source of this 87-nucleotide small nucleolar RNA. The record is from Ensembl. NCBI's taxonomy places the organism in Eukaryota, Metazoa, Chordata, Mammalia, Primates, Hominidae.
AUCAUUUUGUAAUUCAUAGACGUGAUGUGAUGAUUGGGUGUUCCUAUGCAUGUGUGAGAUGUGCCACCUUCAAACCUUGUUACUGUA